ACGAACGCUGGCGGCGUGCUUAACACAUGCAGGUCGAACGGAAAGGCCCUGCUUUUGUGGGGUGCUCGAGUGGCGAACGGGUGAGUAACACGUGAGUAACCUGCCCUUGACUUUGGGAUAACUUCAGGAAACUGGGGCUAAUACCGGAUAGGAGCUCCUGCUGCAUGGUGGGGGUUGGAAAGUUUCGGCGGUUGGGGAUGGACUCGCGGCUUAUCAGCUUGUUGGUGGGGUAGUGGCGUACCAAGGCUUUGACGGGUAGCCGGCCUGAGAGGGUGACCGGCCACAGUGGGACUGGGAUACGGCCCAGACUCCUACGGGAGGCAGCAGUGGGGAAUAUUGCACAAUGGGCGGAAGCCUGAUGCAGCAACGCCGCGUGCGGGAUGACGGCCUUCGGGGUGUAAACCGCGUGCGCCUGUGACGAAGCGUGAGUGACGGUAAUGGGUAAAGAAGCACCGGCUAACUACGUG
This 467-nucleotide ribosomal RNA is filed under the name uncultured bacterium. RNAcentral's name for it is "partial 16S ribosomal RNA". It matches the Rfam family "Bacterial small subunit ribosomal RNA", at positions 29 to 507 of the family's 1533-position model. The record is from RNAcentral.